RNAcentral lists this long non-coding RNA (731 nucleotides) under Homo sapiens (human). Its description in RNAcentral is "HSALNT0051373". Lineage: Eukaryota; Metazoa; Chordata; Mammalia; Primates; Hominidae. The record is from RNAcentral.
AUAUUCCUCCUGAGAGAGUCCGUGUCUUGCAGCUCUUCCAGGGUGACCUGGUAAAGAGACCACCUUUUCAUUUUGAGUCCCAUCACCAACUAUGCCAAUGUCCAACCUACCACACAGCUCACAAUGACUCAGAGGUACAUUUUAGUAUCUGAACAGCAAAGACAUAUUGAGCUGCAAGUACAAUGAGGAGAUCUGCUAUGCCAUAUCAAGACCUUGCUCAUCUGGUGAUGAGACGGGGCUGUUUGCCUUGGAAGACUAAAGAAAGGGUGAAUAUUCACAUGAGGAGAAGAUAAUCGUGGAAGAAUUAAAUGGAAGAAUUCAUAGAAGAAUACAGCCAUGGAUAAACUUAAUCAAAAGAAUAUGAUUAUGGGAUUCAGCUAAACCUCCAUCCGUGGACUGGUGUUCCCCAUAGGCUUAAAAGCUGCAAUGCAUGUUGUGAUUGGAACACGGGGCCUCUCACCCUCAGUGAUGUCACGUGCAAAGGGCAGCACUGGAUUUACAGAUGACAGAAGACCUACGUUCCAGGCCUAGCUCUGCCAAUUCCUGUGUGACCGUGGAUAAGUAACUCAACAUCUCUUGAGCCUCACUUCACUUACUAUCUGUAAAAUGAGACCAAUCACCUUCUUGCAGAGUUGUUAGGAGAGUCAGAUGAAACAAUAAUGUCUGUGAAAGAAACUCUAAAAACUAUAAAGCACAGCAUUUUUUUCCCUCCUAAUAGUUUUGGCUCUGUU